This 219-nucleotide long non-coding RNA is filed under the name Vitis vinifera (wine grape). RNAcentral's name for it is "long non-coding RNA (VVIN_LNC003588)". Lineage: Eukaryota; Viridiplantae; Streptophyta; Magnoliopsida; Vitales; Vitaceae. The record is from RNAcentral.
GCCAUUCCAGAGGCAAAAUCAUGUGUCUUGAGAGCCAAAUAAUUCACAUCUACAGCUGUGACACAUAUAUGACUUUGAGUGUGGGACUUGAAUCAUGUUUAGUCCUCAUUAACAAUCAUUUUACUUACUUUUUCUAUUUUUAGAAGAUAUAUCACUUAAGUAUCUUUAAUUGCAAUCAUUAAUGAAUACUUUAAGCAAUUUUAGUUUUUUAUUCCUCAC